Molecule: non-coding RNA, 718 nt
Organism: Pogona vitticeps (central bearded dragon)
Lineage: Eukaryota; Metazoa; Chordata; Lepidosauria; Squamata; Agamidae
Source: the annotation of a RefSeq genome assembly
GUAUGCAAACCAGCUUGGCCUAGUCUGCUCAGCACAUACCAGGGAGAAAAGCACAGACGGAAACAAGUAGCAUCCGUUCCCCUCCCACUCGCAGCUGGUUGAAAGCCAAGAUGGCUGCAGCACUGGCUCAGCUCCCCUGUGGCUCCUUUCCACACCAGUUCUUCUUCUCCCUCUUGGUCCUGCAGUAUGGUCCAGCUGACAGUCAAUCUAACGUGAAAGUGAUUCAGCAACCUCCAUCUGAGAACCUGCUGCAAGGGAAGGCCCUGGAACUGAGAUGUUCUGUGAACCAAGAGAACUAUUAUUUCUAUUGGUACCGCCAAGUCCCGGGAGAGACCAAGCUACAAUCCCUUGGGACUUUCCGCACCUUUGAAAGCACAUUGCAGGAGCCAGCGGAUGAGCUCAAGGAGCGGCUGAGCGGGGAAAGGAAAAACAACGAGUGCAGUUUGAAUCUGGCAAGCCUGCAGUCGAGUGACAGCGGGCUGUAUCUGUGUGCUGCAAAGGACACAGUGAUUCUAGUAGGAGCAGCCACUGGCAGGAAACAGGGGACCAGGCAAUCGUAUGCAUCCGCAUGUAUACAGAUGUGCUGAGCAACAAGUGGCAGCAACACCCUACCUCUGUGGCCUCCACAUCUGGCUCCUUUUGGAGUUUUUUAUUUUUACUUCCCUGCUCCUAAAAGAUUUCAGUUUGUUGUUCAACUGAGUUGUACAGUUCAUAGGUC